This 497-nucleotide ribosomal RNA is filed under the name uncultured bacterium. RNAcentral's name for it is "partial 16S ribosomal RNA". It matches the Rfam family "Bacterial small subunit ribosomal RNA", at positions 28 to 507 of the family's 1533-position model. The record is from RNAcentral.
GAUGAACGCUGGCGGCGUGCCUAAUACAUGCAAGUCGAGCGAACAGACGAGGAGCUUGCUCCUCUGACGUUAGCGGCGGACGGGUGAGUAACACGUGGAUAACCUACCUAUAAGACUGGGAUAACUUUGGGAAACCGGAGCUAAUACCGGAUAAUAUAUUGAACCGCAUGGUUCAAUAGUGAAAGACGGUUUUGCUGUCACUUAUAGAUGGAUCCGCGCCGCAUUAGCUAGUUGGUAAGGUAACGGCUUACCAAGGCGACGAUGCGUAGCCGACCUGAGAGGGUGAUCGGCCACACUGGAACUGAGACACGGUCCAGACUCCUACGGGAGGCAGCAGUAGGGAAUCCUCCGCAAUGGGCGAAAGCCUGACGGAGCAACGCCGCGUGAGUGAUGAAGGUCUUCGGAUCGUAAAACUCUGUUAUUAGGGAAGAACAAAUGUGUAAGUAACUAUGCACGUCUUGACGGUACCUAAUCAGAAAGCCACGGCUAACUACGUG